CAAUAGCGUAUAUUAACGUUGUUGCAGUUAAAAAGCUCGUAGUUGGAUUUCUGGAGGGAGCGUCGGCCCGUAUUUACGAGUGCGUGACGUCUCUGUCCAUCCUUGCGGGAAGGCACGGCAUUGAUUUGUUGUGUCGGAUCGCAUCAUUUACUGUGAAAAAAUUAGAGUGUUCAAAGCAGGCUUUCGCUUGAAUACAUUAGCAUGGAAUAAUAAGAUAGGACUUUGGUGCUAUUUUGUUGGUUGAGCCUAAAGUAAUGAUUUAUAGGGAUAGUUGGGGGCACCUGUAUUGCGUUGUCAGAGGUGAAAUUCUUGGAUUUACGCAAGACAAACAGCUGCGAAAGCGUCUGCCAAGGAUGUUUUCAUUAA
RNAcentral lists this ribosomal RNA (366 nucleotides) under uncultured eukaryote. Its description in RNAcentral is "partial 18S ribosomal RNA". It matches the Rfam family "Eukaryotic small subunit ribosomal RNA", at positions 592 to 976 of the family's 1831-position model. The record is from RNAcentral.